RNAcentral lists this ribosomal RNA (240 nucleotides) under Bacillus cereus. RNAcentral's name for it is "partial 16S ribosomal RNA". It matches the Rfam family "Bacterial small subunit ribosomal RNA", at positions 1100 to 1341 of the family's 1533-position model. Lineage: Bacteria; Bacillati; Bacillota; Bacilli; Caryophanales; Bacillaceae. The record is from RNAcentral.
AACCCUUGAUCUUAGUUGCCAUCAUUCAUUUGGGCACUCUCAGGUGACUGCCGGUGACAAACCGGAGUAAGGUGGGGAUGACGUCAAAUAAUCAUGCCCCUUAUGACCUGGGCUACACACGUGCUACAAUGGACGGUACAAAGAGCUGCAAGACCGCGAGGUGGAGAUAAUCUCAUAAAACCGUUCUCAGUUCGGAUUGUAGGCUGCAACUCGCCUACAUGAAGCUGGAAUCGCUAGUAA